UAGUUGACUUCGCGCCUGUAGCGUCCACCACGCGUGCGACUGCUCAGCCACUAUCGCUGCUUGCAUGUGCCUUAACGGUGUCAAGUGGUGCUAGCGAGUUUCUUGAAAAUUAUAGUGCUCAACAGCGUCUCGUCGUAUACUGUGCAUGGAUAUAGAAUAGGACCUUCGAUCUAUUUGUUGGCUUUCGGACCAGAGGUAAUGAUAGGAGGGAACGACGGGGGGCAUUCGGUAUGCGACGUUAGAGGUGAAAUUUCUGGGAUUGUCGCAAGACGGCUUAUGGGAAAGCAUUGCCCAAGAAUGUUUUCAUUAAUCAAGAACGAAAGUUAGAGGUUCGAAGGCGAUCAGAUCCCGCCUUAGUUCUAAGCGUAAAGGUUACCAACUACCGAUCGGUUGGGUUAGAAAUGCCCCACCGGGAAGCUUCCGGGAACCGAAAUUCUUCCGGUUCCGGGGGAAGUAUGGUUGCAAUUCUGAAACUUAAAGGAAUUGCCGGAAGGCCCCCCCCAGGAGUGGACCUUGCGCCUUAAUUGGAUUCACCACGGGAAAAUUCCCCCGGCCCGGCCAUGGCAAGGAUGGCCAGAUUGAGAGUUCUUUCUUGAUUGGGUGGGGGGUGGUGCAUGCCCGUUCUUAGUUGGUGGAGCGAUUUUUUUGGUUUAUUCGGAUAACGAACGAGACUCCACCCUGCUAAUUAGUACGGGUAUCUUUUGGUGCGCGCUACUUCUUAGAGGGACAAGCGGUGUUCAGCCGCAUGAAAAGGAGCAAUAACAGGUCUGUGAUGCCCUUAGAUGUCCGGGGCUGCACGCGCGCUACACUGAAAGGUGCAGAGUGCUAGUUCACCUUGCCCGAAAGGGCUGGGUAACCCGCUCAAAACCUUUCGUGAUUGGGAUAGGGACUUGCAAUUAUUUCCCUGAACGAGGAAUCCCAGUAAGUGCGGUCAUAGCUCGCGACUGCUC
This 950-nucleotide ribosomal RNA is filed under the name Trischistoma sp. QTDST04. RNAcentral describes it as "bacterial SSU rRNA". It matches the Rfam family "Eukaryotic small subunit ribosomal RNA", at positions 631 to 1646 of the family's 1831-position model. The record is from RNAcentral. Lineage: Eukaryota; Metazoa; Nematoda; Enoplea; Enoplida; Trischistomatidae.